UACGAGUGCCCCAAGCGUUAUCCGGAAUUAUUGGGCGUAAAGGGUGUGUAGGUUGUCUUGUUAGUCCACUGUGAAAUUCUUCGGCUUAACCGGGGGUUCGCAGUGGAAACGGCAGGACUAGAGGAUGCGAGAGGUGUGCGGAACUCAUGGUGUAGGGGUGAAAUCCGUUGAUAUCGGGAGGAACACCAGUGGCGAAGGCGACUUCCUGGCCUGUUCUUGACGCUGAGGCGCGAAAGCUAGGGUAGCAAACGGG
RNAcentral lists this ribosomal RNA (253 nucleotides) under uncultured bacterium. RNAcentral describes it as "partial 16S ribosomal RNA". It matches the Rfam family "Bacterial small subunit ribosomal RNA", at positions 524 to 776 of the family's 1533-position model. The record is from RNAcentral.